AACGGCGAGUGAAGCGGCAACAGCUCAAAUUUGAAAUCUGGCCUCACGGUCCGAGUUGUAAUUUGUAGAGGAUGCUUCGAGCAUGGUCUGGCCUAAGUUCCUUGGAACAGGACGUCAUAGAGGGUGAGAAUCCCGUAUGCGGCCAGGUGCCUACGCUCAUGUGAAGCUCCUUCGACGAGUCGAGUUGUUUGGGAAUGCAGCUCAAAAUGGGUGGUAAAUUUCAUCUAAAGCUAAAUAUUGGCCAGAGACCGAUAGCGCACAAGUAGAGUGAUCGAAAGAUGAAAAGCACUUUGGAAAGAGAGUUAAACAGUACGUGAAAUUGUUGAAAGGGAAGCGCUUGCAACCAGACUUGCGCGCGGCCGAUCAUCUGGUGUUCUCACCGGUGCACUCGGUCGCGCUCAGGCCAGCAUCGGUUUCGGUGGUUGGAUAAAGGCCCUAGGAAUGUAGCUUCUCUCGGGGAGUGUUAUAGCCUAGGGUGCAAUGCAGCCCACCGGGACCGAGGACCGCGCUUCGGCUAGGAUGCUGGCGUAAUGGUUGUAAGCG
RNAcentral lists this ribosomal RNA (543 nucleotides) under Leotiomycetes sp. Its description in RNAcentral is "LSU rRNA". It matches the Rfam family "Eukaryotic large subunit ribosomal RNA", at positions 85 to 646 of the family's 3401-position model. The record is from RNAcentral. Lineage: Eukaryota; Fungi; Ascomycota; Leotiomycetes.